Molecule: ribosomal RNA, 229 nt
Filed under: uncultured bacterium
Lineage: Bacteria
Description: partial 16S ribosomal RNA
Rfam family: Bacterial small subunit ribosomal RNA
Source: RNAcentral
UGCGUAGGCGGGCUUGUGCGUCAGAGGUAAAAUCCCACAGCUUAACUGUGGAACUGCCUUUGAUACGGCAAGUCUUGAGUGUGAGAGAGGGUGGUAGAAUUCUUGGUGUAGCGGUGAAAUGCGUAGAUAUCAAGAGGAAUACCGGUGGCGAAGGCGGCCAUCUGGCUCACUACUGGCGCUGAGGCACGAAAGCGUGGGGAGCGAACAGGAUUAGAUACCCUGGUAGUCC